Non-coding RNA from Pelobates cultripes (western spadefoot toad), 930 nucleotides. Lineage: Eukaryota; Metazoa; Chordata; Amphibia; Anura; Pelobatidae. The record is from the annotation of a GenBank genome assembly.
AGCCGAUAUAAUUUGCCGAUAUUCUGUACAUUUACCAUUUUGGAAAAUAAAAACUAUUUCUAAAGGUAAAUGCACAAAAUAUACAUGCCACGUGUAGUGGAUGCAGUGUGACAGGGGAGCUGUGUGUGUGUGUGUGCAGUGGAUGCAGUGUGUGUCUUUGUGUAGUGUGUGUGUAGUGGAUGCAGUGUGUUAAUUCCUGCUUGGUUCACUGCUGCCCACCUUUAGUUUAUUUAGUGAGCGCCUAACUCCUCUUUGUUGUGUCUUUGUGUAGUGUGUGUGUAGUGGAUGCAGUGUGUGUUUGUGUAGUGUGUGGGUUGUGGAUGCAGUGUGUGUUUGUGUAGUGUGUGUGGAGGAUGCAAUGUGUGUUUGUGUAGUGGAUGCAGUGUGUAUUUGUUUAGUGUGUGUAGUGGAUGCAGUGUGUAUUAUGUAGUGUGUAUAUAAUGAAAGCAGAGUGUUUGUGUAGUGUGUGGGUAGUGUGCGUAAAGUGAAUGCUGUAUAUACUAAAUGCAAAGUGUGUGUGUAUAUAAUGAAUGCAGAGUGUGUGUGUGUAUUUGUGUAGUGUGUGUAUAGUGAAUAUAGUGUGUGUAUAUAAUGCAGUGUGUUUGUGUAGUGUGCAUUAUAUAAACACACUACGCAAAUACACUGCAUUAUAUACACACACUAUGCAAACACACUGCAUUAUAUACACACACUACACACACAAACACUGCAUUAUAUAAACACUACACAAACACACACUGCAUUAUAUACACACUGCACAAACACACACUGAAUUAUAUAAACACACUACACAAAUACACUGCAUUAUAUACACACACUACACAAACACACACUGCAUUAUAUACACAGUGUGUUUGUAUAGUGUGUGUAUAUAAUGCAGUUUGUGUGUGUGUAUAUAAUGCAGUUUGUGUGUGUUUGUAUAGUGUGUGU